GACAGAGGGUGCAAACGUUGCUCGGAAUUACUGGGCGUAAAGCGCGUGUAGGCGGGCUGAUAAGUCGGACGUGAAAUCCCUGGGCUCAACCCAGGAACUGCAUCCGAAACUGUCAGUCUGGAGUGGUGGAGAGGGAAGCAGAAUUCCUGGUGUAGAGGUGAAAUUCGUAGAUAUCAGGAGGAACACCAGUGGCGAAGGCGGCUCACUGGCCCGGUACUGACGCUGAGGUGCGAAAGCGUGGGGAGCAAACAGG
Molecule: ribosomal RNA, 253 nt
Filed under: uncultured bacterium
Lineage: Bacteria
Description: partial 16S ribosomal RNA
Rfam family: Bacterial small subunit ribosomal RNA
Source: RNAcentral